CCUUAUGCACUCUUGUGUCUAAUAUCAGUAAAAAAAAACGCAACCGUAAAGGAAAGAAGGUCAGACCCUUGUCAAAAAGGAAAACUUUAAAUAAUUUUGGAACGAGUAGACGGAACGUAAUGAGCAAUUGCUGGCCAGAUAGACACGCAGCCUAAAGCCAUCGACUGCAGCAGAACAAACAAUACAACAGUUGAAUGUUGUGAUAGACACAAGCAACGUCGUAAAGCUUUCUGCUUUAUAAAUCGGCAGCGACUGUGUUGUCUUCAGAGUUGUAUGUUUUUAAGCCCCUUGGGUCACAUUAACCAGGCUCAAUCAUCAGCAUCAACACAGGAGGGCUCUGACAUAACACAAGUUCUAUUUUUGUUUUCAAUUUUAUGACACAAAUAUCUCUUUAUCAUUGAAGCUUGACAGCUAAAAGAAAUUGUUCGACACUUGCCAGCUUUCAAUUGCAACUGCUCUGUGAAAGAAGAGGGACUAACUGGAAAAUUACUCUUAGCGAUUCACUGUGUAACUGUUUGACUCUACUUACUUCUCAUUUAUUCUUCAUCAAGAAGAAAGUGGCACCUUAUAACCCUUUUUUGUUCACAUAUCACCUAAGAACCAGAAUUGCUGAGCACUUAGCUCUAUAUUUUGAAAAUUGUUGUUUGUUGUCUUAUCGCAGGCCCUGAUCCAUGGUUCAGGAUAGCAUUAGUUGAAGGCCCCACUCAACCCAAAAGAAGAAAAUUGCAUACGAUAAUUGCAAAAAGAACUUUGGACUUCAGCCAACCUGUGCAGUAGACAGGAUCUACAACAACAUCUCAUUCUAGUCCCUAGUUCACUGCGAGGACUUCAGCCUUAAGCUGCGAUUCUUUAGGAAGUCCUGUUCAGGUGGCUUAUUCUCCUGUUUCACCAGUUGUAUGCUGCACUCUUGUAAAAGCGAGACACUGCUAACUCAGGGUCUAUUCUAAUAUGGAAAGUAGCGGCUGUCUCUGGGACUGGAAAACAGUCUUGCGCUUUAGUUAGCCUUAGUACAUUAAAGUAAUCCCACUGAAGAGGCUGUCACUGCUCCAGGUUCUCCAAAUCAAGAACUAGUAGCAACUAUCAGUCACAAGACACCAACUAAGCCAAAAGCAGAAAACUAAAACUGCUUGGUCACCAUGGUAUCUGUCCUGGUGAAAAUAAAGCAGGUGACUUUGAGUUCAGAACAUUGUAGUUGUGCAAGUGCAGUUGUAAGACAGACCACUGAUAAUGCUGAAAACUCAAGAAGUUUAUGUCUGUAAAACUACUUUUCUGAAUACUUUAUCAAUGGGGAUAUUUCAUGAUGGAUAGUGAUACUAGUAUUUGCUGCAACUGGAGUCCAAACUUCUACUGACAAGAGAGGCAAGCACUUCGAUUGCAUUGAGCAAAAGUGAAGGUUGUCAAAGCUAAUGCCUCCACCGUUGGAGCCCUGACUUAUUAAAAUGACGAUGGUGGGAAUGAGAUAACUGUCGAUACAUGACUUCACAAUGUGGGGCGUCCAGUACGACUGAAAAUUUACCUGUGACUUCUGCUUUACUUCGGAAAACCCUAGCCAAUCCUUCUAAGUACCAUGGAUUUUGUGAAAAUGUUGUAAACAGUGUCAAAGAAAGUUUUGGUAGUAAUCGAUGGAGAGAGAAUGAAGAAGCAGUUGACAAUGAAGUAUAUUGAAAGAGAAGAAACAGAGAGGAAGCAAAUGAACAGAGAGAAAUUGAAGAAAAAGAAGAAUUAUAAUGAAGGCUCUAUAUGUUCAAAAUAAUUGUGAUACCUCAGGCUUUGUAUAAUAACUUCUGUUCCUAUUUAUAAGUUUUUACUUUGUCAUUGUUCCCUUUAUCUUUAUGUACCUUAAAACAAUUAGCAGUGCACUGAUCUAAUGUAGUGUGAUAUAAACCCACUGUUUAGUAUUUCUGAUUGGCUAGUCAUUAAUGUUAAUUUGAUACAUUCAUUUACUUUAGUUUUAAAUUUUCAUCUUCUUAAAUUUGAUUCCCUAUAGGCAAAUUCCUAUAUGGCCUAGUGUUGUCAAAACUGCGAUUUUACUGUUGUCUAUUAAACAUGGUAACUAGUACUUCUAUGCCAAAAGAAUCAUUUUCCUCUAGCCUUUGAUGUACUGAAUAACACUUGGUCAGUAUGACUUUCAACCUACUUGACCUGCUUCUGGCUAAUCAUUUUGAAUAAGGCAAGUUCUUUCUUGGAAACAUGUGCCAAAAAGCAGAUAUAUUUGACUAAUGAAUCAUAUCCACAUCCGCCACCAAAUUUUAAUUUUGUCAACAUGACUGACAUGUUUGUCAUGAAUAGAUCAAUUAUAUUCUGAAGUAGCUGUCCAUGAUUUGAAAAUUAGAAUAACUUACUUCUUAUGACUUUGAUUCAUAAGUUUCUCACUUCCCCUCUCCAAAAUUAAUUGUUUCCGCUCACAACUGUGCUGUUCUUUUCUGCAAUUAACCAGAAAGAGAGGAGAGUCCUACGUUUCAUUGGCACAGACUAAGUAAUGAUUGUGGAAGCACCCUUUUACUCCUACUCAAAAUACCUUCCAUACAUAAUUAAUGAACAAAGCCAAUCAUCCUGGAUUGUGUGAGUCCAUGUAUUUGGACAAAAAUUGAUCAUUUAUACUGUAGGUAGCAAAGCACAAUAGAAAAUUGAUCAAAGUUGUAUUUGAAGGCUUGUUUAACUGUAGCCAAGGCUUGGGUGGCACCCUUUGAAAGUUUUCCUAGUGCAUAUGAAUUAAUCUCAUGGGCAGAGCAUUUUAAAACACUCUGGAGCAGACAAUGACAACAAACGAUUCAGUCAAACUUUUCUUCUGGUUAUCUUAUUUGGUGCGGUCCAGCAGCAAAGUGUUCAUGGGUUUUGGUUUGAGAAAAGAGUCCCUAGCAAAAGGUAGAUGAAGAAAUAGAGAUGCAUUGAAUUUCAGUAAU
Long non-coding RNA from Frankliniella occidentalis (western flower thrips), 2903 nucleotides. RefSeq lists it as uncharacterized. NCBI's taxonomy places the organism in Eukaryota, Metazoa, Arthropoda, Insecta, Thysanoptera, Thripidae. The record is from RefSeq and is a predicted model, not a curated record. The transcript has 5 exons.